Molecule: small RNA, 1073 nt
Filed under: uncultured bacterium
Lineage: Bacteria
Description: bacterial SSU rRNA
Rfam family: Bacterial small subunit ribosomal RNA (bases 1-488)
Source: RNAcentral
AUGGCUGUCGUCAGCUCGUGUCGUGAGAUGUUGGGUUAAGUCCCGUAACGAGCGCAACCCUUGUCCCUAGUUGCCAGCACUUCGGGUGGGAACUCUAGGGAGACUGCCGGUGAUAAACCGGAGGAAGGUGGGGAUGACGUCAAGUCAUCAUGGCCCUUAUGGGGAGGGCUACACACGUGCUACAAUGGCCGGUACAGAGGGCUGCGAAGCCGCGAGGUGGAGCGAAUCUCAGAAAACCGGUCGUAGUCCGGAUUGCAGUCUGCAACUCGACUGCAUGAAGCCGGAAUUGCUAGUAAUCGCGGAUCAGAACGCCGCGGUGAAUACGUUCCCGGGCCUUGUACACACCGCCCGUCACACCAUGGGAGUGGGCUGUACCAGAAGUAGGUAGUCUAACCUUCGGGAGGACGCUUACCACGGUGUGGUUCAUGACUGGGGUGAAGUCGUAACAAGGUAGCCCUAGGGGAACCUGGGGCUGGAUCACCUCCUUUAAAGAAACCGGAAUAAAGCGUGAAAGCGCCCGCACAAUCUGCCUAAUCGCCGUAAAGAUAAACCGCGGGUCUGUAGCUCAGUUGGUUAGAGCGCACCCCUGAUAAGGGUGAGGUCGGAAGUUCAAAUCUUCCCAGACCCACCACCUUCGUGCGUGUAGGAGCAAAAAGGUAACAAGGGGCCAUAGCUCAGAUGGGAGAGCACCUGCUUUGCAAGCAGGGGGUCGGCGGUUCGAUCCCGCCUGGCUCCACCAGGCGCUAAACCACGGCGGCAACUACCCGCCGUGGUUUAUCUCCUGGCCGAGACGCCACGGGACGUUCUUUUACAAUUUAGGUAGUAGUGAUGUACGACGGUGAAGUUGGGACAGCGUUUGACGUCCUGACUUUACUGGGUAUGCCAGCAUUUAUUAUGGUAGUAGUUUGACCUCAUUAAGAGCAGUCUUUUUGGGGUUAUAUGAUCAAGCGACUAAGCGCGCAUGGUGGAUGCCUUGGCGGCAAGAGGCGAUGAAGGACGUAGUAGCCUGCGAUAAGCUUCGGGUAGCCGGCAAACAGGCUUUGAUCCGAAGAUUUCCGAAUGGGGAAACCCGG